RNAcentral lists this long non-coding RNA (862 nucleotides) under Theobroma cacao (cacao). RNAcentral describes it as "long non-coding RNA (TCAC_LNC003896)". The record is from RNAcentral. Lineage: Eukaryota; Viridiplantae; Streptophyta; Magnoliopsida; Malvales; Malvaceae.
CGGUACACAAAUUUAACAAAUCCAGAACAAAAAAAAAAUUGAGUGUAGAAACAAUUUUUCUUUCUCUCUUUUGCAUAAUAUCUUUUAAUAUUCUAGCGUCCGAAAAGUGGCAGAACUAUAAUCCAGGAAGCAGAGUGAACCAUACCAUAAUGUUGCUGAAAAAUAAAAUAUUAACAGUCCAGGCUUCACAUAUGGAUUAUUACCCCACCAUGGAGAUCAAUGUUCACAGUUCAACAUCUCCCUCCCCUUAGGCCUAGUCUACCAGUGACCAGGGCCACCAGUGAGAAGACAUGCAGAAGAAAAAAAGACAUUGCUUGAGGAAAACUAAACCUACGGACUAAAAUAAGUUAUAUCAAAAGUUGCUUCCAAAUAUUCAUUGCUCGAAUCUAAAAAUGAGUCAAAUGCCAAAAGAUAGCACAAUGCUAACAUAAACUGGAAGUCUGGAACGAGUCACUGGGCAAUUCCAACUAGUUAACAACAUUGAAAAGAGAUGUGUCAACAAUACCAAACAAUGAACCUAGCGCGUUUUCAAGCACGACAUCUUUUGAUAUACUUUUACUUACAUUAUGAAACAUCAGAUCAACAAAAUAAUGAUAAAAAGUGGUCACAGGAUACAUCAACAUCAGGUAAACCAUUUAAAUAAAAAUGCACACACACCCAAGUACUUUAAGCCAUACAGAUACAAACAGAAUAAAAGAAUGAAUGCAAGAAAAACAUAGUAGUAAUUUAUAGCAAUGCUAUUAAACAAAAUUGAAGAGGAGAUAAUUGUUAGUAUUUCAAACAACCAUCUUCCAUUAUAAGAUGAUGCGCACAUGAUCGUAAUACUAACCUUUGUGCCAAAAGGACCUUCAGGAUAGUUUAC